Molecule: long non-coding RNA, 1003 nt
Filed under: Homo sapiens (human)
Lineage: Eukaryota; Metazoa; Chordata; Mammalia; Primates; Hominidae
Description: HSALNT0289616
Source: RNAcentral
CGCAGCAAGGGCCAGACUCUGCGCUAGCAGGCGCUGCGCGCCAACCGGCCGGCACCUGUCGCAGAAGGUGCAACCGAUCGCACUGUCGCGCAGAAGCUCCUCAAUGGCCAGCGCCAGCUGCAGCCCCGGCCGCCCACUCGCCUCAUCUGAGCCUGGGCAAAUCUGGAUUGGGAAAGUUGACAUUAAUCAACUCAUUAUUCCUCACAGAUUUGUAUUCUCCAGAGUAUCCAGGUCCUUCUCAGAGAAUUAAAAAGCCUGUACAGGUCUAGAUAUUGGUAUUUUUAAUUGAUGAUAAGCUGGAAUAAUAUUAAUACACACAAAGCACGUGUUGUAACUUUCAUUAUGCUUCCUUAGAGCGCUGCUCUAAGCUGUUGAUGAAAAAUAUUGUUGGUGAGCUCUGCUUAGGUAAUAUAUAGGACAUGAGCAGAGAGGAGGCACGUGAACAGUUCUGGCCUGGAGUAGGCUUCAUUGAGGCUGUGAUGCUUUUAGCUGGAUUUGAAGAAGUGGUAGUGAUCAUCCCAGUGCACAGGAUAGGUGGACAGUCUAUGUAUUCUGAGCAGUAACUCAUAUAUCUCAUACUGCAAGACCCCAAAGGAGUAAUUUUGUGAACUCUGUUCACGGAAAGGGCCUGGGAGCUGCAACACCUCAACAGCAACAAGCACACCUGCUACCUAGAACUUGGUUUCUAAAAACCAUCCUCCUCUAAAAGGAAACAGAGCUCUUUGAAGAAACGGGUCUCCCUAUGUUGCCCAGGCUGGCCUCAAACUCCUGGGCUCAAGUUAUCCUCCUGCCUCGGCCUCCCAAAAUGCUGGGAUUGCAGGCAUGAGUGACCGCACCUGGCCACCUUUCCACAUUUAAGAGAUCCCUGGGAUACUGCGAAGCAGGAGUCCAUCUCCAGACAUGAGGAGCAGGUGGGCUAAAGGAAACAGGACUGGGGAGUCUUGGAGGGGCAGAGCAAUGCCCAGGGACACAGAAACUUUUGAAUAAAGACAAGAGAGACCGA